CAUACCUACGGGAGGCAGCAGUGGGGAAUAUUGCACAAUGGGGGAAACCCUGAUGCAGCGACGCCGCGUGAGCGAUGAAGUAUUUCGGUAUGUAAAGCUCUAUCAGCAGGGAAGAAGAUGACGGUACCUGACUAAGAAGCCCCGGCUAAAUACGUGCCAGCAGCCGCGGUAAUACGUAUGGAGCAAGCGUUAUCCGGAAUUACUGGGUGUAAAGGGAGCGUAGGCGGCAAGGCAAGUCUGAUGUGAAAACCCAGGGCCCAACCCUGGGACUGCAUUGGAAACUGUAUUGCUUGAUUACCGGAGAG
RNAcentral lists this ribosomal RNA (305 nucleotides) under uncultured bacterium. RNAcentral describes it as "bacterial SSU rRNA". It matches the Rfam family "Bacterial small subunit ribosomal RNA", at positions 334 to 656 of the family's 1533-position model. The record is from RNAcentral.